GUGAGUGGCGGACGGGUGAGUAACACGUGGGUAACCUGCCCUAAAGUGGGGGAUAACAUUUGGAAACAGAUGCUAAUACCGCAUAAAACCUAACACCGCAUGGUGUAGGGUUGAAAGAUGGUUUCGGCUAUCACUUUAGGAUGGACCCGCGCCGCAUUAGCUAGUUGGUAAGGUAACGGCUUACCAAGGCGACGAUGCGUAGCCGACCUGAGAGGGUGAUCGGCCACACUGGAACUGAGACACGGUCCAGACUCCUACGGGAGGCAGCAGUAGGGAAUCUUCCGCAAUGGGCGAAAGCCUGACGGAGCAACGCCGCGUGAGUGAUGAAGGUCUUCGGAUCGUAAAACUCUGUUAUUAGGGAAGAACAAAUGUGUAAGUAACUAUGCACGUCUUGACGGUACCUAAUCAGAAAGCC
This 415-nucleotide ribosomal RNA is filed under the name uncultured Bacilli bacterium. RNAcentral's name for it is "bacterial SSU rRNA". It matches the Rfam family "Bacterial small subunit ribosomal RNA", at positions 91 to 492 of the family's 1533-position model. The record is from RNAcentral. Lineage: Bacteria; Bacillati; Bacillota; Bacilli.